This 301-nucleotide ribosomal RNA is filed under the name uncultured bacterium. Its description in RNAcentral is "partial 16S ribosomal RNA". It matches the Rfam family "Bacterial small subunit ribosomal RNA", at positions 509 to 809 of the family's 1533-position model. The record is from RNAcentral.
CAGUCGCCGCGGUAAAACGUAGGUGGCAAGCGUUGUCCGGAAUUAUUGGGCGUAAAGGGCUCGCAGGCGGUUUCUUAAGUCUGAUGUGAAAGCCCCCGGCUCAACCGGGGAGGGUCAUUGGAAACUGGGAAACUUGAGUGCAGAAGAGGAGAGUGGAAUUCCACGUGUAGCGGUGAAAUGCGUAGAGAUGUGGAGGAACACCAGUGGCGAAGGCGACUCUCUGGUCUGUAACUGACGCUGAGGAGCGAAAGCGUGGGAAGCGAACAGGAUUAGAUACCCCGGUAGUCCCUGUCUCUUAUAA